AGAAAUGUGAUUUAAAUGCCAUGCCAUGUAUGCCUCAUAUUUUAGUAUAUGCAUUAUCAUAAAGGAAAACUAAUGAAAAGGGCUUGAAAACUUUAAGUUUUAACGAUAAGGAUAAAAUAAAGGGUAAAGUGAAUAGUACCAGGUUUGACUUUUUAGUGUAAAAAUGUGGUUUUUCGUUAAAGUGAACAGUACCGUGAGCUUUUCGUUAAAACUCCCUUAUCAUAAUUAUGCAUAUUGUUGCAUGGUGUUGUGGAGGCCCAGGUAAGCUACAGGUGAGUACAUUAUGCUGGUAAUGGUUAUGAGAUAUGAUGAUGAUGAUGUUGAGAUGUAUAUUAGAGCUCAUUAAUCUGCACCCCGGUG
This 360-nucleotide long non-coding RNA is filed under the name Malus domestica (apple). Its description in RNAcentral is "long non-coding RNA (MDOM_LNC010381)". The record is from RNAcentral. Lineage: Eukaryota; Viridiplantae; Streptophyta; Magnoliopsida; Rosales; Rosaceae.